GGGGAUGUCGCCCAAUGGUAGAGACACUGAGAAGCCGGCGAUAAUACAACUCAGAAACGGUAUAGGUUCAAAUCCUAUCAUCCCCA
RNAcentral lists this transfer RNA (86 nucleotides) under Caudoviricetes sp. RNAcentral's name for it is "tRNA-OTHER". It matches the Rfam family "tRNA". Rfam says of the family: Transfer RNA (tRNA) molecules are approximately 80 nucleotides in length. Their secondary structure includes four short double-helical elements and three loops (D, anti-codon, and T loops). The record is from RNAcentral. Lineage: Duplodnaviria; Heunggongvirae; Uroviricota; Caudoviricetes.